UGUUAGACUGUGAUUUUACUGGCGCGAGACAGUGCCCUCACGACAAUAGUCGUGCGUUUCCAUUUCGCUGGGAGUAGAAGCCUCUGUAUUGUGUUCACGAACCUCUUUGUUCACGUAAACAAUAACAAACAGUGAGCUUGAGCUUCCUGGGUAGUGGGUGGCGGACGACGUAAACUGCGUUGAAUGUUUUGAGAUAUAGGAAAUAUGCGGCUAUGAAACUGAAGCGAGAAGAUGUGAUUUUCUGUUGGAAAAGACUGACAAUAGCAUGCCACGAAUAACUGUAAGGACGGAUUUGUUCACUAAGCAAAUAACAGGGUUGACCUCUCAGAUAAACAUGGAUGUUUCUAAGGAAACGGAACUGAGGCAUUUAAUUCGUAGGGAACAGCGUCGAAAUCGGAGGAGACGAAGGAGAAACGAAGUUGGUUCGUGUGUAAUUUGUCAAGAAAAUGUACUAAGGAGUGUUAGCAGUGUUUUAUCUUGUGGACACUACUUUCACACACACUGCAUUUUUGCCUGGAUUAAUGCUAAUACCUCUUGUCCAACAUGCAGAGCACCAGUUGAAUGUUACAAUAUAUGAACAGUGAUGUGGGCUUAAGAUACUGGAGAAGAAUAUUUAUUUCCUUGUUGUGUAUGUACCAGAGACAAAUGUUACCUAUUGUUAGU
Long non-coding RNA from Schistocerca piceifrons (Central American locust), 663 nucleotides. RefSeq lists it as uncharacterized. Lineage: Eukaryota; Metazoa; Arthropoda; Insecta; Orthoptera; Acrididae. The record is from RefSeq and is a predicted model, not a curated record. The transcript has 3 exons.